UGCACCUGAACCCGACAUUGUAGGGGAACCAUUUCUGUAUCAGAUUGAGUUUUGCACCUGAACCCGACAUUGUAGGGGAACCAUUUCUGUAUCAGAUUGAGUUUUGCACCUGAACCCGACAUUGUAGGGGAACCAUUUCUGUAUCAGAUUGAGUUUUGCACCUGAACCCGACAUUGUAGGGGAACCAUUUCUGUAUCAGAUUGAGUUUUGCACCUGAACCCGACAUUGUAGGGGAACCAUUUCUACAUCAGAUUGAGUUUUGCACCUGAACCCGACAUUGUAGGGGAACCAUUUCUACAUCAGAUUGAGUUUUGCACCUGAUCCCGACAUUGUAGGGGAACCAUUUCUACAUCAGAUUGAGUUUUGCACCUGAUCCCGACAUUGUAGGGGAACCAUUUCUACAUCAGAUUGAGUUUUGCACCUGAACCCGACAUUGUAGGGGAACCAUUUC
Molecule: long non-coding RNA, 451 nt
Organism: Dalotia coriaria
Lineage: Eukaryota; Metazoa; Arthropoda; Insecta; Coleoptera; Staphylinidae
Exons: 9
Source: RefSeq, a predicted model, not a curated record